RNAcentral lists this ribosomal RNA (253 nucleotides) under uncultured bacterium. Its description in RNAcentral is "partial 16S ribosomal RNA". It matches the Rfam family "Bacterial small subunit ribosomal RNA", at positions 524 to 776 of the family's 1533-position model. The record is from RNAcentral.
UACGUAGGGUGCGAGCGUUAAUCGGAAUUACUGGGCGUAAAGCGUGCGCAGGCGGACAUGUAAGUCAGAUGUGAAAUCCCCGGGCUUAACCUGGGAAUUGCAUUUGAAACUGUAUGUCUAGAGUGCGUCAGAGGGGGGUGGAAUUCCACGUGUAGCAGUGAAAUGCGUAGAGAUGUGGAGGAACACCGAUGGCGAAGGCAGCCCCCUGGGAUGACACUGACGCUCAUGCACGAAAGCGUGGGGAGCAAACAGG